AAGCAAUACGUUAUCAUUCACCAGAAGUAUUAGUGGCUUUAGAUGAGUUAGCGUUGGCAAAUGAGCAGCUCACUGUCGUUUGCCAAGCUGCAUGGAGUAAUUUUUUGACGGGUUUUGGUGGAUACUUUGCCGAGUUCCAAGCUGUUGUGCAAGCCCUGGCUUCAUUGGAUUGUCUAAAUUCUCUCGCCAUUCUUUCGAGGAAUAAGAAUUAUGUCCGUCCGCUCUUUGUUGAAGAUGAUGAGGCUGUUCAGAUACAUAUAUGCUCUGGUCGUCAUCCGGUUCUGGAGGCUGUUUUACAAGAUAACUUUGUCCCAAAUGAUACAGAUUUGCAUGCAGAAAGAGAGUACUGUCAGAUUGUCACUGGACCAAAUAUGGGGGGGAAAAGUUGCUAUAUUCGCCAAGUUGCUCUUAUUGCUCUCAUGGCUCAGGUUGGAUCCUUUGUACCAGCGAUCUCUGCAAAACUACAUGUACUGGAUGGGAUAUAUACUCGCAUGGGUGCAUCAGACAGUAUUCAGCAGGGAAGGAGUACAUUCUUAGAAGAACUCAGUGAGGCUUCUGAUAUACUGAGAAAAUGCUCAGCCAAUUCACUGGUUAUACUUGAUGAGCUUGGGAGAGGCACCAGCACACAUGAUGGCGUAGCAAUUGCUUAUGCAACACUUCAAUAUCUCCUGGAGCACAAAAAAUGCAUGGUUCUAUUUGUUACUCAUUACCCUGAAAUUGUCAGUAUCAAGAAUAAGUUUCCAGGCUCUGUGGGACCAUACCAUGUGUCAUAUUUGACAUCCCAAAGAGAUGUGAAUGGGGAUUUCAAGUCAAAUGAGAAGAUGGAUCACAUUAAUG
RNAcentral lists this unclassified non-coding RNA (837 nucleotides) under Hevea brasiliensis (rubber tree). Lineage: Eukaryota; Viridiplantae; Streptophyta; Magnoliopsida; Malpighiales; Euphorbiaceae. The record is from RNAcentral.